RNAcentral lists this small nuclear RNA (107 nucleotides) under Sorex araneus (European shrew). The record is from RNAcentral. Lineage: Eukaryota; Metazoa; Chordata; Mammalia; Eulipotyphla; Soricidae.
GUGCUCGCUUCAGCAGCACAUAUACUAAAAUUGGAAUGAUGCAGAUAAGAUUAGCAAGGCCCCUGGUCAAAGAUGACAAGCAAAUUCGUGAAGCAGUCCAUAUUUUU